RNAcentral lists this ribosomal RNA (459 nucleotides) under uncultured bacterium. RNAcentral's name for it is "partial 16S ribosomal RNA". It matches the Rfam family "Bacterial small subunit ribosomal RNA", at positions 338 to 795 of the family's 1533-position model. The record is from RNAcentral.
CCUACGGGCGGCAGCAGUGAGGAAUAUUGGUCAAUGGGCGAGAGCCUGAACCAGCCAAGUCGCGUGAAGGAUGAAGGAUCUAUGGUUUGUAAACUUCUUUUAUAUGGGAAUAAAGUGAGGAACGUGUUCCUUUUUGUAUGUACCAUAUGAAUAAGCAUCGGCUAACUCCGUGCCAGCAGCCGCGGUAAUACGGAGGAUGCGAGCGUUAUCCGGAUUUAUUGGGUUUAAAGGGUGCGUGGUGGUUAAUUAAGUCAGCGGUGAAAGUUUGUGGCUCAACCAUAAAAUUGCCGGUGAAACUGGUUGACUGGAGUAUAUUUGAGGUAGGCGGAAUGCGUGGUGUAGCGGUGAAAUGCAUAGAUAUCACGCAGAACUCCGAGUGCGAAGGCAGCUUACUAAACUAUAACUGACACUGAAGCACGAAAGCGUGGGGAUCAAACAGGAUUAGAUACCCGUGUAGUC